GACGAACGCUGGCGGCGUGCUUAACACAUGCAAGUCGAACGGAAAGGCCCUGCUUUUGUGGGGUGCUCGAGUGGCGAACGGGUGAGUAACACGUGAGUAACCUGCCCUUGACUUUGGGAUAACUUCAGGAAACUGGGGCUAAUACCGGAUAGGAGCUCCUGCUGCAUGGUGGGGGUUGGAAAGUUUCGGCGGUUGGGGAUGGACUCGCGGCUUAUCAGCUUGUUGGUGGGGUAGUGGCUUACCAAGGCUUUGACGGGUAGCCGGCCUGAGAGGGUGACCGGCCACAUUGGGACUGAGAUACGGCCCAGACUCCUACGGGAGGCGGCAGUGGGGAAUAUUGCACAAUGGGCGGAAGCCUGAUGCAGCAACGCCGUGUGCGGGAUGACGGCCUUCGGGUUGUAAACCGCUUUCGCCUGUGACGAAGCGUGAGUGACGGUAAUGGGUAAAGAAGCACCGGCUAACUACGUG
Molecule: ribosomal RNA, 468 nt
Filed under: uncultured bacterium
Lineage: Bacteria
Description: partial 16S ribosomal RNA
Rfam family: Bacterial small subunit ribosomal RNA
Source: RNAcentral